CCUACGGGAGGCUGCAGUGGGGAAUAUUGCACAAUGGGGGAAACCCUGAUGCAGCGACGCCGCGUGGGUGACGAAGUAUUUCGGUAUGUAAAGCCCUAUCAGCAGGGAAGAAGAUGACAAUACCUGACCAAGAAGCCCCGGCUAACUACGUGCCAGCAGCCGCGGUAAUACGUAGGGGGCAAGCGUUAUCCGGAUUUACUGGGUGUAAAGGGAGCGUAGGUGGCAUGGCAAGCCAGAAGUGAAAACCCGGGGCUUAACCCCGCGGAUUGCUUUUGGAACUGUCAGGCUGGAGUGCAGGAGGGGCAGGCGGAAUUCCUGGUGUAGCGGUGAAAUGCGUAGAUAUCAGGAGGAACACCGGUGGCGAAGGCGGCCUGCUGGACUGUAACUGACACUGAGGCUCGAAAGCGUGGGGAGCAAACAGGAUUAGAUACCCCUGUAGUC
This 441-nucleotide ribosomal RNA is filed under the name uncultured bacterium. RNAcentral describes it as "partial 16S ribosomal RNA". It matches the Rfam family "Bacterial small subunit ribosomal RNA", at positions 338 to 795 of the family's 1533-position model. The record is from RNAcentral.